UACGGAGGGUGCAAGCGUUAUCCGGAUUCACUGGGUUUAAAGGGUGCGUAGGCGGGCAGGUAAGUCAGAGGUGAAAUCUCCGGGCUUAACCCGGAAACUGCCUUUGAUACUAUCUGUCUUGAAUAUGGUGGAGGUAAGCGGAAUAUGUCAUGUGGCGGUGAAAUGCUUAGAGAUGACAUAGAACACCUAUUGCGAAGGCAGCUUACUACGCCUAUAUUGACGCUGAGGCACGAAAGCGUGGGGAUCAAACAGG
Molecule: ribosomal RNA, 253 nt
Filed under: uncultured bacterium
Lineage: Bacteria
Description: partial 16S ribosomal RNA
Rfam family: Bacterial small subunit ribosomal RNA
Source: RNAcentral